GAGAGAGAUCAUGUGGUAUCUGCCUUUCUGUGCCUGGUUUAUUUCACUUAGCCUUAUGUCCUCCAGGCUCAUCCAUGUUGCUGUGAAUGACAGGAUUUCAUUCUUUUCCCACGAGUUUUUAAUCUUGUUAAGGACAUUUUAACUGUCAUUAACUACAGUGUAUAUUGUCUCUGCUUCUAGACUGUCAUCUCCUCAAGGACUAUGUGUUUUAGCUAAAUUCCUUGCAUGCAGUGGGCCUUAGAAGCUGGGCAAUUUCAGAAAUGAAAAUCACACUGUGAAAGUUAUUCACAGUUUAGUAUUAAGUGAAAGAAGUUAAGUGGGAAGCUAAUUUGCUCAUUUUAAAAAAUGGGGCUACUUGGGAAAAUAUUUUAAAUGGCAUUUUAAGUGUUGGGAUUUCAGGUGAAAUUUCUUAUCUUAUUUUUGUUUUUUGGUUUUCUUCAUUUUCUGCCAUGAAUAUUAUUUGUUUUGUAAUGAAAAGGUAUAUAUAAAAAAUUGAUUGUGAGUUCAAACAAUGCUAUCUGUCAGCAUUAAGCAUGAAAGUACACUAAAGAAACAUUUUGGUCUUGGUUUGGCUGCUAUUUUACAAAAGCAUUCACUAAUUUUUUUUUUUUUUUGAAUGAGAAAACAUUUAUUCCAUCUCCAAACAGCAUCCCAGGGCCGGGCAUCUCCCCUACGACUUUAUAAUACACUCGGCACAGACAGAGUUUGGGAGCCAUGGGACACCUCUGCCCUCCCCAGGCUUCCUAAGUAACAACUGCAGAAUAUUUACAUAAAGCUGGGUGUUGUCAGGCAAAGCCAUUCCCUGCUGCCAGGGGUGGGAGCAAGAAGGAAGUGCCAUGAGCACCAGCCCCGCCUUCACACCGUGGGAGGCAGCCCAGAGGCCACCGGCACAGGGUGGUGGCCCCCAGAUCAUACAGCAGUGGACACAGGGGAAGCAAACCUGAGUGAGGACACAAGAGCCUGGUCCGGCUCCGCUGCACAGGAGAAACAUAAUUGAGGUGGAAGGAUCCAGAAGAAAGGAACCAGUGAUGAUGAGGACAGAGGGCUCUCCACGGGAAGGUGGGAGAGAAUUUAGUUCUCUGUGCCGUGAAGAUGGGAUUGGAGCCAUACAUUGGAGAUGAAGAGAGUCCUUCCAUCCAUCUGCUGGACCUGCUGGGCCUCAGGGCUUUCUCUGAAGUGGUAGGGGGAAGAUGUCACAGAGGAAAUGUAAAGAAAAGUCUACCUCGGCAGUCUACAGCGUGGUGGAUAAAAAAAGAGCAGGAAGAGUCUGGCGAGGCGAUCAGCCUGAUGUAGGUGCUGAGUGUCCCUCACAAAGUCCCAGCAUGAAAGGGGUGGCUGAGAGCCGCUGGGUGGGCCCCAAGUCCAUGGUGCUAGAGCGAGGUCAGGCUGAGGCAGGGCUGGAGGUGGUUGCAUGGAUGGCACUACAGGCACUUAGAGGGGUCUAAUCUGGGUCCAUUGGGGGCUAUGCCCCACAAGAGUGGUUCCUGUGCCCACGGGUCCCACCAUGAACCCCCCAGCCCCAGGCCUGAGCUCAUAAGUAAGCAGGGAGUCCAGAAGCCAAGCAGCCAAGGGCGUCCCUGACACCCAAAGCAAUGCCACCACAUACAAGGAUAGCCAGACGGAUCCAAGCUGAGGGCUGGACAGUGCCCACGGAGCCAUUUAAAGUCUUGUGUAUGUCUUUUUUUCCUCGUUUUUAAUUUCAUUUGACACUUAUGUACAAUAAAGUAUUGUGUAUGUCUAAAGCUUAAAUCAGGUGGGCCAUUUCCAUUUUCCUGGGUUCUGUUGGUUUGUUUGCUUUGUUUUCCUGCUGGUAAUAGGUAGUACCUGAGGAAGGCAAGAAAGGAUAUAAAGAAAAUAAGAAACAACACUUUCUCUGCACAUCCAAAUUGUGGCAAGGAUUUUUGCAGAUUGCCACCAGUUCACUGAGAGGAGUCAUUGAAAACAUGGCAUUGAGGACAGAGACUGCCACUUCAGAAUUUUCUACAUCCAACUGCUGAAGCCACUCGAAGAUAUUUCCCUCAGAGAACCAUAACCAGCUUUGGAGAAGAUGCUUCCACAUAGCUUGUUUCACAGCAUCUCAUCUCUCAUUAAAACCUUGUUGAGGGAGCAUUACUGUCUGAGCAAUGGACAUAGCUCUCAUACGAACCUUUUCAGCUAACACCGGAUAAGCCAGCUUUCUGACAGCCUCUUUCACAUCCUUGGUGCACCCUACAAUUUUUGGCAAAGUCUUUGCUGAUGGUGCAAUACAUGAUAA
Molecule: long non-coding RNA, 2254 nt
Filed under: Homo sapiens (human)
Lineage: Eukaryota; Metazoa; Chordata; Mammalia; Primates; Hominidae
Description: HSALNT0217947
Source: RNAcentral